RNAcentral lists this ribosomal RNA (366 nucleotides) under Triticum aestivum (bread wheat). RNAcentral's name for it is "partial small subunit ribosomal RNA". Lineage: Eukaryota; Viridiplantae; Streptophyta; Magnoliopsida; Poales; Poaceae. The record is from RNAcentral.
GGCACUGCAAAUUAUGGAAUUCACUACACCGGGCACCCAAAGGUGCUUGAAGGGUAUAGUGACUCAAACUGGAUCUCAGAUGCUGAUGAGAUAAAGGCCACGAGCGGAUAUGUAUUCACUCAUGGAGGUGGCGCUGUUUCUUGGAAGUCUUGCAAGCAGACCAUCUUAACGAGGUCAACAAUGGAAGCAGAACUCACAGCACUAGAUACAGCUACGGUCGAAGAAGAUUGGCUUCGUCGGCUCUUGAAUGACUUGCCGGUUGUUAAGAAACCUGUACCGGGUAUCCUUAUGAACUGCGACAAUCAAACUGUGAUUACGAAAGUGGGCAGCUCAAAGGAUAACAUGAAGUCAUCAAGACACGUUUAG